AAAGAAAAGGCGCUGAUCCAAAGGAAAAAUAAACGAAGAUAAAAAACCUAAUCUUUAGAUAGAGUUCUAUCUUUUUCACACUAUUCCAUCUCUGACGGCAUUCUCGUGUUGAAGCUCCGUCUCUGGCUCCCUCUCUGAAUCUACCAUAUUUGAAGCUCUCAUAUCUAUUGAAGGGCAACUAUUCAAGAUCAAUAGUUACACAGAUGGGUAUGCCUUCACCUCUUAAUACAGACUUGCCAUGAAUGAGAAGAAGACAAGAAGCGUGAGAGGUCAAGGAGUUGUUGAUUCAAGCUUUUCUCUGGCUGCACCACCAAUUGCUCUGUUAUUCUGGGUUUCAAUUGGGUCUGUGCUACCAUAUUUUAGUUCCAUGAUUCAAGUUGGGUCUCAACUUUCACAAGAGAUUGUGCAAAGGGAAAUGCAGGACAAUUUUCCUCAGAUAUGGAGGUCUCUUUUCUCCUUUUCAAUACCUAAGCAGUGGAAACUCUGUU
Molecule: long non-coding RNA, 488 nt
Organism: Rosa chinensis
Lineage: Eukaryota; Viridiplantae; Streptophyta; Magnoliopsida; Rosales; Rosaceae
Exons: 5
Source: RefSeq, a predicted model, not a curated record